AUUCUACAAGCUUAAUCGAUGAAUAAAAGAUGUAUUAGGUGUAGAUGUAUUAAGAAUGCUUUUAAAUCUACGUUCUUUAAUCUAUAUAUUCAUCAAUUUUAAGUUUCUAAUUUAUAUUACAAUUAUUACACAUUAUGUUUUGUGUGUGUGUGUGUGUGUGUGUGUGGAGGUGAAAUUAGUAAAAGAAUUCGUGGUAUAUUUAUGAUAUGUUAGGAUGAGAUAGAGAGAAGGAGUGUGUGUGUGUGUGUGUGUGUGUUAGUUUAGCGGGAACGGUGAAUUAAAUAUUGUAAGAAUUUGUAGAUUUGAAAGUCUUGCAAUCCGAUAGGUGUGAUAUCAAUAAAUUAGGAUUAAACUGCUAUAUAUAGCGUGGGUAAUUUUUAAAUUAUUAACAUUUCCCUCUGCUGACUAAAUCUGUUUGUAUUAUUUCGAAACAUUUGCAUCGUAAAUGAAUGAUUGAUAGAAAGUAGCAGACAAUUGCAAACCGAUCGAGCUAUCUACCAUUAAUCGACGCAACGAUAAAGUGAAAAAAUAUAUUCCAAGAUUAUUGUAAUUCAAAGUCAAAUCGGAAUGUCUCGCCAUCUGCCGUUACGUUCAUUUCUUUUGUACUUUCGAUACAUGUAAUUAAAUACUACUUGUUUCUUUU
This 643-nucleotide unclassified non-coding RNA is filed under the name Bombus terrestris (buff-tailed bumblebee). RNAcentral's name for it is "misc RNA ENSBTSG00005033073.1". The record is from RNAcentral. Lineage: Eukaryota; Metazoa; Arthropoda; Insecta; Hymenoptera; Apidae.